GAUGAACGCUGACAGAAUGCUUAACACAUGCAAGUCAACUUGAACUUCGGUUUGGGUGGCGGACGGGUGAGUAACGCGUAAAGAACUUGCUUCACAGAUAGGGACAACAUUUGGAAACGAAUGCUAAUACCUGAUAUUAUGAUUUUAGGGCAUCCUAGGAUUAUGAAAGCUAUAUGCGCUGUGAGAGAGCUUUGCGUCCCAUUAGCUAGUUGGAGAGGUAACGGCUCACCAAGGCGAUGAUGGGUAGCCGGCCUGAGAGGGUGAUCGGCCACAAGGGGACUGAGACACGGCCCUUACUCCUACGGGAGGCAGCAGUGGGGAAUAUUGGACAAUGGACCAAGAGUCUGAUCCAGCAAUUCUGUGUGCACGAUGAAGUUUUUCGGAAUGUAAAGUGCUUUCAGUUGGGAAGAAAAAAAUGACGGUAUCAACAGAAGAAGUGACGGCUAAAUACGUG
This 454-nucleotide ribosomal RNA is filed under the name uncultured bacterium. Its description in RNAcentral is "partial 16S ribosomal RNA". It matches the Rfam family "Bacterial small subunit ribosomal RNA", at positions 28 to 507 of the family's 1533-position model. The record is from RNAcentral.